RNAcentral lists this ribosomal RNA (1497 nucleotides) under uncultured Bordetella sp. Its description in RNAcentral is "partial 16S-23S ribosomal RNA intergenic spacer". It matches the Rfam family "Bacterial small subunit ribosomal RNA". The record is from RNAcentral. Lineage: Bacteria; Pseudomonadati; Pseudomonadota; Betaproteobacteria; Burkholderiales; Alcaligenaceae.
AGCUUGAUUAUGGUUCAGAUUGAACGCUGGCGUGACGUUUCAUGCAAGUCAUGAACGGCAGCACGGACUUCGGUCUGGUGGCGAGUGGCGAACGGGUGAGUAAUGUAUCGGAACGUGCCUAGUAGCGGGGAUAACUACGCUGAAAGGUAGCUAAUACCGCAUACGCCCUUCGGGGGAAAGCGGGGACCUUCGGGCCUCGCACUAUUAGAGCGGCCGAUAUCGGAUUACUAGUUGGUGUGGCAACGGCUCACCAAGGCGACGAUCCGUAGCCGGUUUUGAGGACGACCAGCCAUCAGACUGAGAUACGCCCGUAUCUUACGAGCACGGUGGGGAAUUUUGGACAAUGGGGAAACCCUGAUCCAGCCAUCUCAAGGCGUGUGCGAUGAAGGCCUUCGGGUUGUAAAGCACUUUUUGGCAAGGAAAGAAACGGCACGGGAUAAUACCCCGUGCAACUGACGGUACCUGCAGAAUAAGCACCGGCUAACUACGUGCCAGCAGCCGCGGUAAUACGAGGUGCUAAUCGAACACAUUGGGCGUAAAGCGUGCGCGGUGCAGCGGCCUGAAAGAAAGACGUGAAAUCCAGAGCUAACUUUGGAACUGCAUUUUUAACUAACGAAAUAGAGUGCAAGAGGAGGUGAACGCGUGUAGCAGUGAAAUGCGUAGAUAUGCGGAGGAACACCGAUGGCGAAGGCAGCUCUCCUGGGAUAACACUGACGCUCAUGCACGGCGUGGGAGCAAACGAGGAUUAGAUACCCGGUAGUCCACGCCUCAACGAUGUCAACUAGCUGUUGGUUUUGGGUAAUGGUGAGCGCAGCUAACGGUGCAAGCGGACCGCCUGGGGAGUACGGUCGUGACAAAUCAAAGAACAAUUGACGGACCGCACAAGCGGUGGAUGAUGUGGGAUUAAUUCCGAUGCAACGCGAAAAACCUUACCUACCCUUGACAUCUGGAAUCCCGAAGAGAUUGGGAGUGCUCGGGUAAGAGAACCCGGAAACGGCAGGUGCUGCAUGGUCAGUCAGCCGUGUCGUGGAGAUGCCGGGUUAAGUCCGCAACGAGCGCAACCCUGUCAUUAGUUGCUACCAGGGCACUUAAUGAGACUCUGCCAGACAACCUGAGAAGGUGGGGACACGUCAAGUCUCAUGGCCCUUAUGGUAGGGUCAUGACGUCAUACAGCAAUGAGCCCGGGGACAGAGGGUCGCCAACCCGCGAGGGGAGCCAACUGUAAACCCGAUUUGCAGUCCGGAUCGCAGUCGCAACCUGACUGUGAAGUGUCGAAUCGCUAGUAAUCUCGCGGAUCAGCAGGCCGCGGUGAAUACGUUCCCGUCUGCACAAUUCCGGGCCCGUCACAGCACCACAGGGAGUGGGUUUACCAGAAGUAGUUAGUCGGAACCGGGCAGUGAUAUGAUUACCACAGAGAUCACGAUUGGGGUGAAGUCGUACCAUGCGUAAUCCCAGUUAUUACCCGAUGCCCUUUUGUGAUAACAUGCAACUUGACCU